Molecule: ribosomal RNA, 304 nt
Filed under: uncultured bacterium
Lineage: Bacteria
Description: partial 16S ribosomal RNA
Rfam family: Bacterial small subunit ribosomal RNA
Source: RNAcentral
CAGCAGCAGCCGCGGGAAUACAGAGGGUGCGAGCGUUAAUCGGAUUUACUGGGCGUAAAGCGUGCGCAGGCGGUUAUAUAGGACAGAUGUGAAAUCCCCGGGCUCAACCUGGGAACUGCAUUUGUGACUGUAUAGCUAGAGUACGGCAGAGGGGGAUGGAAUUCCGCGUGUAGCAGUGAAAUGCGUAGAUAUGCGGAGGAACACCGAUGGCGAAGGCAAUCCCCUGGGCCUGUACUGACGCUCAUGCACGAAAGCGUGGGGAGCAAACAGGAUUAGAGACCCGAGUAGUCCCUGUCUCUUAUAC